UCCAGCCAUGCCGCGUGUGUGAAGAAGGCCUUCGGGUUGUAAAGCUCUUUUGUUGAGGAAGAAUGUGUUUGGGUUAAUACCCCAAAUGCUUGACGUUACCCAAACAAAAAGCACCGGCUUACUCCGUGCCAGCAGCCGCGGUAAUA
Molecule: ribosomal RNA, 146 nt
Filed under: uncultured Thiobacillus sp.
Lineage: Bacteria; Pseudomonadati; Pseudomonadota; Betaproteobacteria; Nitrosomonadales; Thiobacillaceae
Description: partial 16S ribosomal RNA
Rfam family: Bacterial small subunit ribosomal RNA
Source: RNAcentral